UUUCUUCUCUAUUACACUAUAUCAUUUUAUGCUGGUAGUUUACCAUCUUGGUCAUUUCAUAUAUGCCGUUAUUUGUAAGCAUUUAUCUUGCUGUGGAUUGAGGGUUCGGGCUAGAAUUUAAUUUGGUGGCUUCUGACCUGUAACUUCUCCUGUUAUGUUUAACUUUGAAAUGCUUUCAAACAAUUUGGCUUGUGAGCUAUAAAUUAAUCUGACUUUUUUCGUUCUGGGUCUGAUUACUGAGCCGGGAGGGAAAAUAAAGAAAGAAUCUCAGCACCGAUUAAGCUCAUUUUUACUACUGCUUCCGUUGGUACAGCCAGAGAGGAACUUAAACAUUGUCUCCCGAUCUAUUGUUUCAAGAUGGAAUUGAACUGCUAGGACAAUUUGAAUAAUUACGUUCAUCAUUCAAAUGGUAAAAUUCCAUUGCAAAAUGCAGAGCCUAAUUCUAGAAUGCUCUACUUAAUAUUUUCCAAUAAAUGUUGUAUUUGAAAUUUUAGAUUUGAUUAAAAAUAAGGAGUAACCACCACCCUCUUGUUAGAGUUUAAAUGUGAGGUGUGAGAAAGUGGUAAAAAAUUGUGGAAUAAAACUGUUGUGUGGAUAAAUGGUGCAUAAGAUCAUGUGAGGUGCUUGCUUUAGCAGUAUUAUGCUGCAAAUUUAUUGUUUUUGAUAACUUGUAUCAUUGAAUCAGCAUGUUCAAUCUAAUGCUCAUUACGAGCGAAUGUUCACUUCUCUCAUUUAAAGUGGAAUUAGGGUUUAAAAAUAGAAUGAAAUAUCUUUAGUUUUUCUAAGUGGUAAUUUGGGCUUGGGUGCAGGUGAGUUUGAGCGAGUAGCAAGACACACAUCAAAUGUAAAAGUGCACACAUAUGGCACACAGUUUGUUAUUACUGGAUUCAACUAUUUGUUUUUGUGCCACUGGUGCUGAAAUUUGCAUAUUUUGUUAUGUAUAAAGGUACAGGUGAUUUGGGCGAGCGACCCAGUUUCACAACGGAGGGGAGGAG
This 995-nucleotide unclassified non-coding RNA is filed under the name Primulina sp. 14 JT-2014. RNAcentral's name for it is "partial 166FR". The record is from RNAcentral. Lineage: Eukaryota; Viridiplantae; Streptophyta; Magnoliopsida; Lamiales; Gesneriaceae.